UAUCCAUUCAUGCUCCCUACUGUCCU
This 26-nucleotide non-coding RNA is filed under the name Rattus norvegicus (Norway rat). Lineage: Eukaryota; Metazoa; Chordata; Mammalia; Rodentia; Muridae. The record is from RNAcentral.